This 1392-nucleotide ribosomal RNA is filed under the name uncultured bacterium. RNAcentral's name for it is "partial 16S ribosomal RNA". It matches the Rfam family "Bacterial small subunit ribosomal RNA". The record is from RNAcentral.
AGAGUUUGAUCCUGGCUCAGGAUAAACGCUGGCGGUACGUCUAAUACAUGCAAGUCGAACGAGAACCUUCGGGUUUUAGUGGCGAACGGGUGAGUAACACGUAGGUAACCUGCCUUUAAGACGAGGAUAACAGUUGGAAACGAUUGCUAAUACUGGAUAUAAAGUAACGGGGGCAUCCCCGAAACUUAAAAGGUCCUAAGGGACUACUUAAAGAGGGGCCUGCGGUGCAUUAGUUAGUUGGUAGGGUAAGGGCCUACCAAGACGAUGAUGCAUAGCCGGACUGAGAGGUUGAACGGCCACAUUGGGACUGAGAACGGCCCAAACUCCUACGGGAGGCAGCAGUAGAGAAUCUUCGGCAAUGGGGGAAACCCUGACCGAGCGAUACCGCGUGAAUGACGAAAUACUUAGGUAUGUAAAGUUCUUUUAUUUAGGAUGAAGAGCAUAUAUAGGGAAUGAUAUAUGAGUGACAGUACUAAAUGAAUAAGCCCCGGCUAACUAUGUGCCAGCAGCCGCGGUAAUACAUAGGGGGCAAGCGUUAUCCGGAAUUAUUGGGCGUAAAGGGUGCGUAGGCGGCUAUUUAAGUUUAAGGUGUAAGUGCAAGGCUCAACCUUGUGAGGCUUUAAAAACUGGAUAGCUUGAGGUAGACAGAGGCAAGUGGAAUUCCAUGUGUAGCGGUAAAAUGCGUAAAUAUAUGGAGGAACACCAGUGGCGAAGGCGGCUUGCUGGGUCUAAACUGACGCUGAGGCACGAAAGCGUGGGGAGCAAACAGGAUUAGAUACCCUGGUAGUCCACGCCGUAAACGAAGAAUACUAGGUGUAGGGGUUGUCAUGACCUCUGUGCCGCCGCUAAACGCAUUAAGUAUUCCGCCUGGGGAGUACGGUCGCAAGAAUUAAAACUCAAAGGAAUUGACGGGGGCCCGCACAAGCAGCGGAGCAUGUGGUUUAAUUUGAAGCAACGCGAAGAACCUUACCUAGACUUGACAUCUCCUGCAUUACUCUUAAUCGAGGAAGUCCCUUCGGGGACAGGAUGACAGGUGGUGCAUGGUUGUCGUCAGCUCGUGUCGUGAGAUGUUGGGUUAAGUCCCGCAACGAGCGCAACCCUUAUUGUUAGUUGCCAUCAUUAAGUUGGGCACUCUAGCGAGACUGCCCGGGUUAACCGGGAGGAAGGUGGGGAUGACGUCAAAUCAUCAUGCCCCUUAUGUCUAGGGCUACACACGUGCUACAAUGGUCGGUACAAUAAGACGCAAGCCCGCGAGGGGGAGCAAAACUGGAAAACCGAUCUCAGUUCGGAUUGUAGGCUGAAACUCGCCUACAUGAAGCUGGAGUUGCUAGUAAUCGCGAAUCAGCAUGUCGCGGUGAAUACGUUCCCGGGCCUUGUACUCACCGCCCGUCA